ACCGCAUCGAGGCAGCGGGGCGCGCCGGCCCGCCACGCAGAGACUUAGGAAAAGCUACUGCCCGCACAUGCCAGCACUCGCCACUCUCCCUCGCGUGUUAGAACUUCACCGCAAAGUGGGCUCCAGUGUCUGUGGCGAAAGAAGCACAGGCUCCCUUGUCUCAAUACAGCCAGCCAGAUUAAAGAAUGGCCAGAGUUCACUUCGUCCAGGCAGAAAGUAACUCCCCGACAGUUAUUAGAUUAGGCUUCCCGCUGGCUCUUCAGCUCGACUGCCCAUUCACUGUAUGCCUGCCGUGCUGACUCCUCCUCAUUUACGUCUGACUUGUUCCCUCCCCCCCUACCUUUCCCGGCCCGGCUCUCGCCGCCUCUUCCACGUAGAGCGCCGCUCCCAGCGGGUGCUGUGCUCCGGGCAGCGCUGCGGAGGCGCAGAGCGAGCGGCCGGCAGACGGACGAGAGAGAUGCAAGACACAAAACCAAGAAUUGUCAGAUUAGUGCUUUUUAAUGUUGACCAAAGCCCAGCUACUCCAUUACACCAUGUUGACCAAAGCCCAGCUACUCCAUUACACCAAAACGGCCCAACACUCUCGGAUAAAUUUAGCAUACAGAACUCUGAAUAAAGUUUUACUUGCUUCCCAA
Molecule: non-coding RNA, 635 nt
Organism: Taeniopygia guttata (zebra finch)
Lineage: Eukaryota; Metazoa; Chordata; Aves; Passeriformes; Estrildidae
Source: RefSeq, a predicted model, not a curated record